RNAcentral lists this long non-coding RNA (1167 nucleotides) under Equus asinus (donkey). RNAcentral's name for it is "lncRNA (ENSEASG00005035789.1)". Lineage: Eukaryota; Metazoa; Chordata; Mammalia; Perissodactyla; Equidae. The record is from RNAcentral.
GUGGCCCACCCCCAAGCUGUGAGUCUGCAGGGUUCUGCACCCUGCUUUGGCUGCUACAGCCUUUCUUUGCACUGCCCUAGGGGAUUUCAGUGACCUAAUGACCUCUACUUCAACCUCUGAACUUCUCUUCAACCCUUGCUCCAAACGCAACAACCUGCACCCUGAAACUAGGAGUGGUCCCUACCCAGGCUGUCUGCACCAUGCCCCAUCAGCCUUGCUCUUGACCAGCCCUCUGUGCUCCUCCCUCCCUCCCAGGCACCCAGCCCAGAGCCAUGAAGUUCACACCUGGUGCUGGACCUGCUCACCCAGCAUUCUUCACUCCUGCUGCUGCCGUUGUUAACAACAGCAAUAAUAAAAAGGGCUACUCUCCUACCCCUUACCUCACUGUGUGCCAGGCCCUGGGCUGAGUGCUUUACAUAUGUUAACUCAUUUAAUCCUCACAACGACCCUACGAAAGGGGUACCAUUAUGACCCAAUUAACAACUGGUCUGCAGGACUGGGAGGGAGGAAGGACCAGAGGUGACAAUGCAAGGGAAAUCUCUGACCCUGACUCCCAGAGAUGGAUGCUCUCUACGCCCAUGACCCACAGCUGAUUGGGUGUCUGGGACCCGGGACCCCAUUUAAAGUGAGAUUUCACACCAGCAUAUCUCUGCCCAGUGUGCCAAGAUCUGCCACCUGCUGUCACAGUGUGAUACUGUGCAAUAGAUAAUUAAUAUAGUCCCAGAGAUGUUGUAACAAUAUGACUAUAAUCAUCCUGUGUGUGCCCAGGCUUAAUGGUUUGAGGCUGUGUGAGGUGGGGCAGGGGACACAAGCCUAAAAUGCCAGACCUCCAGAGGCCAGUUUGGUUUGGCAGACAUUGUUUAUUAAAAGAUUCUCCCGUGCCAAGUCUAAGGCCUAAAAUGAGUAAGACAGCUGCAUACCCUCCGGUGGCUGGGGAUGGCCCACAAAGUGUGGUGGAUACAAAUAGACUUUCAUAUCAUUCUUUCAUGUAUUUAUACAACAAAUAUUUAUUUUGAACCUACUAUGUGCAGAGUACUGGGAUAGGUCUUGGAGUCACAGAAUAAUAAAGCAAAGACCCCACCCCAAGAACCCCCUUCCAUUGUCUCCAGUACAAUUGUGAGUGGUCUAAAGAGGUGUUGCAGAAGCGUGAGUGGGGGUGGAGGGAAG